UAUAAAGAGAAACAGAGGCAGCAACGAUGGUUACUUUAUAAUCGUGUUACGCCUGGUUUACUGUAAAAGUUAAUAAUUAUGCGUGACGUAAUCGAAGAAGUAUCAAAUAAGCGAGUGCGUAUUAUUAUCAAACGACAAUUAUAAGAGAAUUAAAUUCUUAAUAUUAUUACGUAAUUUAAAAAUGAACGAAUAAGAGAGACCGAUCGAUGAUCCUCGAUAAAAACAGACGAACUUUUCAAUCGUCUGCCAUCAAAAUUCGUCGUUCGAAAUCCCAAAAUUUGAUAAAAAUGUGAAGAAAGAAAUGGGAUUUAAUUAUUUAUUUCGAUUAAAAUGAAAGAUUUUGGAUUAAAUUUAGUCAGUGUUAGAAUCAAAAUGAGAAUACAACAAGAAAAUAUACGCCGACAAAGAAGACAUGAGAUACACAGAAAAAGAAGACCAAAUUUAAUCCUUGAAGAAGCAGAAUGGAUGCAAAUUAGCUGUAUAGAUGUCAGUUGGAAGAUUUAUACAAAUAAUUGAAAUGAUGAAUUCAUCUAACAUUGAUGUAAAUGUUUUAAGAGUUAUAAAAAGAAAUCUUGAAAGAGGUGAAAAAUAUAUCCAAGCCUUUAUGAGGUGUAAUAAUUUUUUAAUAUUUCUUUAAAUGAUUUAUUUAUAAAUCUACUGGUGUUAAUAAUUAAUAUGUAUUGUAUUUUACAGCAUAUAAGAUUCAUUUCCAUUUCAGCACAGAAUAUUUAGGAAAAGUACUUAGUGUGUUUAACUGUAGCCUACUGAAGGCUGUAAGGGUACGUCCUAUGUGGCAGCAUCCAGCAACUGCGAGCAUGAACUUUCUUCUAAGCGGAGUGAACAAACUGGUUCAAGCAAAUGUGCGUGUCCAGAGUAACUGCGUUUAGCAUGCAGUGGCCACCAGAUAACACUUCUACAUACAUAUAUAUAUAUUUGUAUGUGAAACUUAUAUUAAUAUCUACUGCAACAAUAUAUAUUAUACUUUACAUAUUUCUGUUAAUUGACUAUUACUUAUUUGUUUACUUUUAAGUUAUCAAUCUAGCUUAUUAUUUAUAAUGCAGAUAUUCAAUGUCAUCUGUCUUACAUGUAAAUUGUUACGGUAAUAAUUUACAGUAUAUAUCUCAUGUAAACACAUUGAAGCUCAUUACUUUAUAUUCCUGUGUUCAAUUUUAAACAUGUAUAAACUGGUUAUGCUAUUGCGGUUCCAGUGAUGCAAUAUUGUUGCAUUAAUAAAAAGAUUGUGUGCGUGCAUUUGUGUGCGCGUGCAUGUGCAGGAAGCAGCUACCAAGCAUAUUUGAUUGCCUCUUCCACUGCUCGCACUUCCAAAGAAGAAAAUGGCUGAUUUUGUAGAUGAAUGAAAACAGAAUGACAAAUAAAUUGUGUAUAUAUGUUGUAUGUACUUUAAUUAAUAAUCUUUAGCGUAAUUUAAUUAUUUCUGAUUUUGUAAAUGUAACUUUUUUUAACUUAUUAUUUUAUAAAGAUUAUUUAUAUUUGUUGUGUAUCUAGUUAGUGACAACAAUUACCUGUCAAAUUUACCAUUGUAAUGCUUGUCAUAUUUUCCUUAGCAAGCAUUCAUUGAAGUCGUUUCGCUGCUAUUUUGUAAACAACACUCGUCCACUCUAGACAGAAAUCGCUCGCGAGUUAGAUGCGCAUACAAAGAUUCUUUCUGCUCGUGGUCGGUGGAUGCUGCCACGUAGGAUGUACCCUUAGGGAAAUUCAUUAACUUGUAGGAGAUCACAUGUAAGGCACAGGGCAAUUUUUUUUUUCUAUUUCUUUGUAAACAAAAGUUACAUCUUGUAUGCUGUAAAAUAUGGUAUAUUAUUGGAAGGAAAGGUGAUAAGUCAGAUUCAAUUGAACUUUUCAAUUUUAUGAAAUACUUUCCUGUUUUAAA
RNAcentral lists this unclassified non-coding RNA (1891 nucleotides) under Centruroides sculpturatus (bark scorpion). RNAcentral describes it as "uncharacterized LOC111612870, transcript variant X1". Lineage: Eukaryota; Metazoa; Arthropoda; Arachnida; Scorpiones; Buthidae. The record is from RNAcentral.